This 82-nucleotide ribosomal RNA is filed under the name Trichomonas vaginalis G3. The record is from RNAcentral. Lineage: Eukaryota; Parabasalia; Trichomonadida; Trichomonadidae.
CCGAACCUGGAAAUUAAGCAGUCGCGGGCCACAUCAGUACUGGGCUGGGCGACUUCCCGGGAACGUGCGGUGCUUGCUUCUU